This 496-nucleotide ribosomal RNA is filed under the name uncultured bacterium. Its description in RNAcentral is "bacterial SSU rRNA". It matches the Rfam family "Bacterial small subunit ribosomal RNA", at positions 993 to 1493 of the family's 1533-position model. The record is from RNAcentral.
GAAUGCCGAAGAGAUUUGGCAGUGCUCGCAAGAGAACCGGAACACAGGUGCUGCAUGGCUGUCGUCAGCUCGUGUCGUGAGAUGUUGGGUUAAGUCCCGCAACGAGCGCAACCCUUGUCAUUAGUUGCUACGCAAGAGCACUCUAAUGAGACUGCCGGUGACAAACCGGAGGAAGGUGGGGAUGACGUCAAGUCCUCAUGGCCCUUAUGGGUAGGGCUUCACACGUCAUACAAUGGUCGGGACAGAGGGUCGCCAACCCGCGAGGGGGAGCCAAUCUCAGAAACCCGAUCGUAGUCCGGAUCGCAGUCUGCAACUCGACUGCGUGAAGUCGGAAUCGCUAGUAAUCGCGGAUCAGAAUGUCGCGGUGAAUACGUUCCCGGGUCUUGUACACACCGCCCGUCACACCAUGGGAGUGGGUUUCACCAGAAGUAGGUAGCCUAACCGCAAGGAGGGCGCUUACCACGGUGGGAUUCAUGACUGGGGUGAAGUCGUAACG